GACGAACGCUGGCGGCGUGCUUAACACAUGCAAGUCGAACGGAAAGGCCCUGCUUUUGUGGGGUGCUCGAGUGGCGAACGGGUGAGUAACACGUGAGUAACCUGCCCUUGACUUUGGGAUAACUUCAGGAAACUGGGGCUAAUACCGGAUAGGAGCUCCUGCUGCAUGGUGGGGGUUGGAAAGUUUCGGCGGUUGGGGAUGGACUCGCGGCUUAUCAGCUUGUUGGUGGGGUAGUGGCUUACCAAGGCUUUGACGGGUAGCCGGCCUGAGAGGGUGACCGGCCACAUUGGGACUGAGAUACGGCCCAGACUCCUACGGGAGGCAGCAGUGGGGAAUAUUGCACAAUGGGCGGAAGCCUGAUGCAGCAACGCCGCGUGCGGGAUGACGGCCUUCGGGUUGUAAACCGCUUUCGCCUGUGACGAAGCGUGAGUGACGGUAAUGGGUAAAGAAGCACCGGCCAACUACGG
RNAcentral lists this ribosomal RNA (467 nucleotides) under uncultured bacterium. RNAcentral describes it as "partial 16S ribosomal RNA". It matches the Rfam family "Bacterial small subunit ribosomal RNA", at positions 28 to 506 of the family's 1533-position model. The record is from RNAcentral.